UUGACAGCACAGGAGAUAAAAGUUCUAUUUAUCCACAGACAGAUACUGCACGGAGCACAGGCAACAGCACAAGCUUUCCCCACACUGCCCCCCACCAAUGCACCUGAAUCCUGGUGCGAUGUUCAGUCUUCAUAGGCUCUUCAGACUUUGGCCUCU
Molecule: small RNA, 156 nt
Filed under: Chelonoidis abingdonii (Abingdon island giant tortoise)
Lineage: Eukaryota; Metazoa; Chordata; Testudines; Testudinidae
Description: TUC338 (ENSCABG00000014153.1)
Source: RNAcentral